AAAAGUUUGUGGAGAGGCUUUCAUCUCUAAAUGCCUCUGGUCCUUCUGCCAAGCCUCAAAGAAGCUCUGCAUCUUCAUGGACUUUUCGGCAGCAGAAAGCCUCAGAGCGCUGGACAGAAGCACGACCAAACCACCUACAAGGCCUCAUUGAAAAGGAGGCUGUUGGUCAUCCCUUGUGUUGCCUCUGCCCCAAGCCGGCUGUUAUUAGGUGCAGAGAGUGUCUCCCUGAAGAGUGGUUCUGUGGGGACUGCGAUGUACUGCAUCACAAAAAACAGCCACUCCACAACAGGGAAUGUCUGACACGUGGGUUCUUUGAACCCAUUCCUCCAACCACACGCGUCAUGAAAGGGGAGGAUGGAUAUUUCACUCAGGAGCAAGGACGUUAUGACUUGCAUCAGCCACUGUAUGUAUGUCAGACGUGCCAGCAGCAGAGGACCCCUGACAUGAAGCACUUCCUUCAGAGUGGAUAUUGGCCAGCCUCUCUCAAUACUUCCACGUUGUACACGUUGGACCUCUUGAGCUCCUUUCAGGAACUGAAAGUAAUCUCUCCGGGAUUCUCCAGACAGGCCUUCGCAAAGCUCCUGGAGCAUCGCACCAAGUGUGGAGGACGAUCUGGACAUAUCAAAGGUGACACCCUGCAGCGCAGCUUCUUGGAGUUUUCAUAUGCUUCGUUUGAGAAGGACCAACUCUGCUGUGGUGCUGUUCUCACCUGCCCAGCCUGCACACCAGAAAUGUUGGCUGUUUCAGUAGAUGGAAACAGAAAGUUAUAUCGCUUUCGCCGAAAUGGAAGUUCUGGUGACCAUGCCUUUUUUGAAGGUUUAUUUGUGGCUGAAGACAGUGCAGUGUCUGGAUUUGUGGACAUGAUCCAGAAAGCUGUGAAAAAGACACAGGGAAGAGGCACGUGUGGGGACUCCCAAUGGACAGCAGCACGGGAGACAUCAAGAAGGGCAUCCAAAUUGGAUGAAGAGGGCAUGGAGGUUGCUGUGUGUCGCCAUGGUUUCCUUCUUAAAGCCCUUAAUAUGUACAGG
Gadus morhua (Atlantic cod) is the source of this 1028-nucleotide long non-coding RNA. Lineage: Eukaryota; Metazoa; Chordata; Actinopteri; Gadiformes; Gadidae. The record is from Ensembl.